GCUUGCUGGACAUGAAAGUGGCGCACGGGUGCGUAACGCGUAUGCAACCUACCUUUAUCAGGGGGAUAGCCCGGAGAAAUCCGGAUUAAUACCGCAUAAAAUCACAGCACUGCAUAGUGCAAUGAUCAAACAUUUAUGGGAUAAAGAUGGGCAUGCGUGUCAUUAGCUAGUUGGCGGGGUAACGGCCCACCAAGGCGACGAUGACUAGGGGAUCUGAGAGGAUGGCCCCCCACACUGGUACUGAGACACGGACCAGACUCCUACGGGAGGCAGCAGUAAGGAAUAUUGGUCAAUGGAGGCAACUCUGAACCAGCCAUGCCGCGUGCAGGAAGACUGCCCUAUGGGUUGUAAACUGCUUUUAUCCGGGAAUAAACCUUUCUACGUGUAGGAAGCUGAAUGUACCGGAAGAAUAAGGAUCGGCUAACUCCGUGCCAGCAGCCGCGGUAAUACGGAGGAUCCAAGCGUUAUCCGGAUUUAUUGGGUUUAAAGGGUGCGUAGGCGGCCUGUUAAGUCAGGGGUGAAAGACGGUAGCUCAACUAUCGCAGUGCCCUUGAUACUGAUGGGCUUGAAUGGACUAGAGGUAGGCGGAAUGAGACAAGUAGCGGUGAAAUGCAUAGAUAUGUCUCAGAACACCGAUUG
This 639-nucleotide ribosomal RNA is filed under the name Pedobacter humicola. Its description in RNAcentral is "bacterial SSU rRNA". It matches the Rfam family "Bacterial small subunit ribosomal RNA", at positions 78 to 715 of the family's 1533-position model. Lineage: Bacteria; Pseudomonadati; Bacteroidota; Sphingobacteriia; Sphingobacteriales; Sphingobacteriaceae. The record is from RNAcentral.